GACGAACGCUGGCGGCGUGCCUAAUACAUGCAAGUUGAGCGAUGAAGAUUGGUGCUUGCACCAAUUUGAAGAGCAGCGAACGGGUGAGUAACGCGUGGGGAAUCUGCCUUUGAGCGGGGGACAACAUUUGGAAACGAAUGCUAAUACCGCAUAAUAACUUUAAACAUAAGUUUUAAGUUUGAAAGAUGCAAUUGCAUCACUCAAAGAUGAUCCCGCGUUGUAUUAGCUAGUUUGUGAGGUAAAGGCUCACCAAGGCGAUGAUACAUAGCCGACCUGAGAGGGGGAUCGGCCACAUUGGGACUGAGACACGGCCCAAACUCCUACGGGAGGCAGCAGUAGGGAAUCUUCGGCAAUGGACGAAAGUCUGACCGAGCAACGCCGCGUGAGUGAAGAAGGUUUUCGGAUCGUAAAACUCUGUUGGUAGAGAAGAACGUUGGUGAGAGUGGAAAGCUCAUCAAGUGACGGUAACUACCCAGAAAGGGACGGCUAACUACG
This 495-nucleotide ribosomal RNA is filed under the name uncultured bacterium. Its description in RNAcentral is "partial 16S ribosomal RNA". It matches the Rfam family "Bacterial small subunit ribosomal RNA", at positions 28 to 505 of the family's 1533-position model. The record is from RNAcentral.